CCCAAUCCAAUAAAACCCCAAACAAAUAACCAAUUAACAAUAGACCAAAUUCCAAAUAAACAAUAUGCAAUUGAUAUAAUCCAAAUAUCCCAACUUAAUCACCAAAUGCAAUAUAACCACAAACCCAAAUUAACAAAUUUCAAAUUAAUCCACCAAUAAUAAAUUAACCCAAAUUUUCUAUUAAUUCUUCAAUGACAAAUUAACUCAAAUUUCAUAUUAAUUUACCAAUAAAAAAUUAACAUAAAUUACAUGCUAAUUAAUAAAGCUCAAAUAUAAAACCCACAAAUAAACAUAAAUGCACAAGCCCAAUUUCAACAACAAUUAUUAUUAAAAUCAAAUAAAGAAAAAAUAGUAAUAAUAAUAAUAACAAUGAUAAUAAUAAUAAUAAUAAUAAUAAUAAUAAUAAUAAUAAUAAUAAUAAUAAUAAUAAUAAUUGACUGUCCCAAAAAUGGAUGGAAGAAGAGGAAAUCCCCGACUGCCGGAAAUAAUGCCAACGGCGGCAGCUCGCCGACGACAACUAACCGAUUGUGGAUAUGGAGAUGGGUUUCAUGGGAAAUAAAAAGAAACGAAAAAGAAAAAAGAAAUGGAAUGACAAAAAAAAUGAGGGGGGCAUGUGGCAAUGGGUGUUCUAAAGGAGAAAAAAAAAACUAGAAAAAAAAAAAGGAAAAAUCUGGGGGGUUCCCUAGCAGUUUGUGUGGGAGUUAGGGAGGAAAAUUGGAGAAAGAAAAGAAAAAUCAGAGAAAAUGGGGAUCAAUCGUAUUCUAUGAGAGUUGGGAAAGUAGAGAGAAAAAAUGAAUAAAUAAAUAAAUAAUAAAAAGUAAAAUAAAAAAUAAAAAAACAAAUGAAGAGCUGGGAUGGGGAGCCGACCACUCCCGUCGUCCUGGAAGAAGCCUCUAGAAGAAAUGAAGAAAAAUGGAGAUGAAAGGAAAGGGAAGAGAGAAGAUGGCGGGUGUGUGGCCAAUGCGCCGCGUUAGGAGAGAGAAUGGUGGCCUUAGGGGAAGCUCAAAAAUUGGGCGGGUCACUAUUCUUGGGAAAUGGGGGAAAAGAAAAUGGGGAAGGGGCCCAGCCAAAGGAAAUUUUGGGGAAGAGAGAGAAAAAUGGGAGGGAAAAAAGAAAAGAAAAUAAAAAAAAAUAAAAAAUGAGAGAUGAGAUGGUG
Molecule: long non-coding RNA, 1156 nt
Filed under: Vitis vinifera (wine grape)
Lineage: Eukaryota; Viridiplantae; Streptophyta; Magnoliopsida; Vitales; Vitaceae
Description: long non-coding RNA (VVIN_LNC004754)
Source: RNAcentral